Long non-coding RNA from Mustela lutreola (European mink), 1383 nucleotides. RefSeq lists it as uncharacterized. NCBI's taxonomy places the organism in Eukaryota, Metazoa, Chordata, Mammalia, Carnivora, Mustelidae. The record is from RefSeq and is a predicted model, not a curated record. The transcript is spliced from 3 exons.
GCCCAGGCCCCCCUCUGCCCGCCUGCAGCAGGUGCUGCCAGCUCCGGCUUCGGGAUGGGGGCCUCUGCAGCCGCGUCCGUGCCACCCUACGGCAGGCCUGUGACCCACACCCAUUUCCAUGGGCACCCGCCCUACGCUGACCUCCUUGCCCUCCAGAGAGGGCUCAGACCACCGAGAAAACUUCCUACACUCCUUCCAUUCCUUGGAAGGGGGGCAGACCCCCCGGGACUGAGAUGUGCCAGCCGCUGUCUCCCUAUUGAUGCCUGGAUCCUCAAACCACUCGCGAGGGAGAGAAUUCUUGCCACAUCCUUUUAAGGUGGGGAAACUGAGGCUCCACGAGAUUAUGGAGUUUGCCCAGAGACACAGGAGAUCAAACCGAGUCGGGGAUACCACAGCGGCUGGCCUGGAGUGUAACUGGGUAAUGAUGCCAGCUGCCUUGUGCACCCCUGGUGGGUUACUGCAUCCUGCAACGUCGCCUCCACUUUACCGAUGAGCAAACUGAGGCAAGGAGCGCGUCAGUCACAGACCAACAGUGAGAAGCUGGGUCGGAAUUCGAACCGAACCCGAGAGCUGGGGCCUUGCUCCGCCGCUUCCCCAUGGGCCGCGGGCACCCACUUGGGGGCUGGGACGCCCCCGCCGCCGGGCCACUCCAGCCGCGGGGGCCGGCAGAAGCCGGGCCGCCCGCCAGGCUGCCGGGCUGGAUGCCCGGCCGCAUCACGCCGCGAUGGGGAAACUAAGGCUCAGAGGCAAAAUUCUUUGCCAGAGGAUGGGGAGCUCCAAGUUUGAAUCCAAGCAGGGUGUCGUGGGCUCCCAUGCCUCUCUCAGCCAGGUGCAGGCGGAGCCAUCCGGGCCGCGAUCCUACCUGGGAGAACCGGAGCAGAGAUGCUGUACCAGGCUCCCUCCCGGACUGCCAGGCUAUCUGAGGGCAGGGAGAAAGUUCCCAGAAGCCAGUUAUCACUCCGCUCUGGUUCCCCAGGACCUCACCAAGCUGCCCACUGGACCCCUAAUGGGUGGGGAACAGAGCAGGCACCAGCACUAGAGCAGGUGGGGUGCACAUGUGCCUCUCCCGACCCUCUCACCUCCACUGGGAAGUGACCAUCUGUCUGGAAAGGGAUCCCCUCUGCAUCAUUUAAGAAAUAUAUAUAUAUAUAUAUAUAUAAUAUAUAUCGGGGGUGCCUGGGUGGCUCAGUGGGUUAAGCCUCUGCCUUCGGCUCAGGUGGUGAUCUCAGGGUCCUGGGAUGGAGCCCCGCAUCGCAUCACAUCGGGCUCUCUGCACAGUGGGGAACCUGUUUCCUCCUCUCUCUCUCUCUCUGCCUGCCUCUCUGCCUACUUGUGAUCUCUGUCUGGCAAAUAAAUAAAAUCUUAAAAAAAAAAAAAAAGAAA